UGUUUAAUAUAUAAGGAGGAUUAUAUGAAUGAAAAUGAAAGUUUCUGGCGGUUAAUUGUUAUUUAGAGGAGCUUGUUAUUUUUGAUAAGAAUUUACUCUUUAUAUUUUAUAUGUAAAAAGUUUAUUCAUCUCCGUUAUUAGAUAUUUAUCAGUAAAAUUUAUUUUAAAAUUUCAGGUCUAGAUGUAGCAUUUAUUUUAGAUAAUUAGCUACAGUUGUAGAAUAAUGGAUUUUUGUUUUAAAUCAAAAGGAAAGUGAAUUUGAUUGUAAUUUUGGUUACAAGGCUAGGAUGAAUCAUUAUAAUUA
Molecule: ribosomal RNA, 304 nt
Filed under: Acutisoma longipes
Lineage: Eukaryota; Metazoa; Arthropoda; Arachnida; Opiliones; Gonyleptidae
Description: partial 12S ribosomal RNA
Source: RNAcentral